GACGAACGCUGGCGGCGUGCUUAACACAUGCAAGUCGAACGGAAAGGCCCCUUUGGGGGUACUCGAGUGGCGAACGGGUGAGUAACACGUGAGUAACCUGCCCUUGACUUCGGGAUAACUUCAGGAAACUGGGGCUAAUACCGGAUAGGAAUCCUUGCUGCAUGGUGGGGGUUGGAAAGCUUCGGCGGUUUUGGACGGACUCACGGCUUAUCAGCUUGUUGGUGGGGUAGUGGCUUACCAAGGCUUUGACGGGUAGCCGGCCUGAGAGGGCGACCGGCCACAUUGGGACUGAGAUACGGCCCAGACUCCUACGGGAGGCAGCAGUGGGGAAUAUUGCACAAUGGGCGGAAGCCUGAUGCAGCAACGCCGCGUGCGGGAUGACGGCCUUCGGGUUGUAAACCGCUUUCAGCAGGGGCGAAGCUUGUGGUGACGGUACCUGCAGAAGAAGCACCGGCUAACUACGUG
This 465-nucleotide ribosomal RNA is filed under the name uncultured bacterium. RNAcentral's name for it is "partial 16S ribosomal RNA". It matches the Rfam family "Bacterial small subunit ribosomal RNA", at positions 28 to 507 of the family's 1533-position model. The record is from RNAcentral.